RNAcentral lists this ribosomal RNA (429 nucleotides) under Pseudomonadota bacterium. Its description in RNAcentral is "Proteobacteria bacterium partial 16S ribosomal RNA". It matches the Rfam family "Bacterial small subunit ribosomal RNA", at positions 355 to 776 of the family's 1533-position model. Lineage: Bacteria; Pseudomonadati; Pseudomonadota. The record is from RNAcentral.
UGGGGAAUAUUGGACAAUGGGCGAAAGCCUGAUCCAGCCAUGCCGCGUGUGUGAAGAAGGUCUUCGGAUUGUAAAGCACUUUAAGUUGGGAGGAAGGGCAGUAAGCGAAUACCUUGCUGUUUUGACGUUACAGACAGAAUAAGCACCGGCUAACUCUGUGCCAGCAGCCGCGGUAAUACAGAGGGUGCAAGCGUUAAUCGGAAUUACUGGGCGUAAAGCGCGCGUAGGUGGUUCGUUAAGUUGAAUGUGAAAGCCCCGGGCUCAACCUGGGAACUGCAUCCAAAACUGGCGAGCUAGAGUAGGGCAGAGGGUGGUGGAAUUUCCUGUGUAGCGGUGAAAUGCGUAGAUAUAGGAAGGAACACCAGUGGCGAAGGCGACCACCUGGGCUCAUACUGACACUGAGGUGCGAAAGCGUGGGGAGCAAACAGG